Molecule: unclassified non-coding RNA, 379 nt
Filed under: uncultured Caryophanaceae bacterium
Lineage: Bacteria; Bacillati; Bacillota; Bacilli; Caryophanales; Caryophanaceae
Description: uncultured Planococcaceae bacterium contains 16S-23S intergenic spacer region
Source: RNAcentral
UCCGGUUUAUCACCGGCAGUCUCCUUAGAGUGCCCAACUAAAUGAUGGCAACUAAGAACAAGGGUUGCGCUCGUUGCGGGACUUAACCCAACAUCUCACGACACGAGCUGACGACAACCAUGCACCACCUGUCACCGUUGUCUCCGAAGAGAAAACCAUGUCUCCAUGAUGGUCACCGGGAUGUCAAGACCUGGUAAGGUUCUUCGCGUUGCUUCGAAUUAAACCACAUGCUCCACCGCUUGUGCGGGCCCCCGUCAAUUCCUUUGAGUUUCACACUUGCGUGCGUACUCCCCAGGCGGAGUGCUUAAUGCGUUAGCUGCAGCACUAAGGGGCGGAAACCCCCUAACACUUAGCACUCAUCGUUUACGGCGUGGACUAC